Long non-coding RNA from Mytilus trossulus (common blue mussel), 4142 nucleotides. RefSeq lists it as uncharacterized. NCBI's taxonomy places the organism in Eukaryota, Metazoa, Mollusca, Bivalvia, Mytilida, Mytilidae. The transcript is spliced from 3 exons. The record is from RefSeq and is a predicted model, not a curated record.
AAUGCUUUUUUAAAGACAUAUCUAAGUAAUUAUCUUUUUAUGAAUUAAAAUAAAUAACUGUUCAUUUUUUCCAAAUUUGUAUAAAUAUAUAACCAUUCCUUUUACUAAAUUUUGAUAUCAUAAGCGCACAAUAACUAAAUAAGUAUGAAAAUUUUAAUUUUCAGUGUUUCAUUGAGAUUUGGACUUCCAACAACUUGAAUUUAACAAUACUGCAUUAUUAUAGGGUAUGAUUGCAACAUGAAACCGUUACUUACCUUUUUUUUAAAUGUUUAAAAAUUGAACACUAGCAAGUCAGUAGAACAUUACCUAUAAACUAGACAUGAAACCCAAUCACCAUACCCCAUCACCAUACCCAAUCACCAUACCCCGUCACUAUAUCCCAUCACAAUACCCAAUCACCAUAGACCAUACUCCAUCACCAUACCCAAUCACCAUACCCAAUCACCAUACCUAAUCACAAUACCCAAUCACAAUACCAAAGCACAUUCACUUAGCAUGACACCCACAACCAUUAACACUGUAUGUAUAGAAUAAAAGGUAGUUUAAACUGGCUUGCUAAUGUUUUCUUCUUGGCUUUCUUUAAUUAUCCCCUCGCCUCACAUAGCAACAGCUUUAUGUAUUGUUGACCUGGGACUGAACUUCGGAGCAGGUUGGGUGGAAUGAGGCAACGUCCAGGAACUGAUAUUUAAGAACUCAGAGGUCUUGGAGGAGACUAGGGUCUGAUGAAAGGGAGAGGAAGACUCCAGGCACUUGUAUUUAAGGGCAAGGAAGGGAGUAGGGAAAAGCUAACCCAAAACAAGUCCAGGGACUUAUUUUUAAGGGCAUGGGGGUCCAGGGACCUGUUUUUAUGGGAUUGGGGUUUUGGAGGAUUACCGCAUGUGAGUCCAGGAUCUUGUUUUUAAGGGAUGGUGGUUGGGGAGGGUUACCCCAUGGGAGUCCAGGGACUUGUUUUUAUGGGAUUAGGGGUCAGGGAGGAUUACCCCAUGGGAGUCCAGGAUCUUGUUUUUUAAAGGGAUGGUGGUUGGGGAUGGUUACCCCAUGGGAGUCCAGGGACUUGUUUUUAUGGGAUUGGGGGUCAAGGAGGAUUACCCCAUGGGAGUCCAGGAUCUUGUUUUUUAAAGGGAUGGUGGUUGGGGAGUGUUACCCCAUGGGAGUCCAGGGACUUGUUUUUAAGGGAUUGGGGGUCAGGGAGGGUUACCACCAUGGGAGUCCAGGGACUUGUUUUUAAUGGAUGGGAGUCGGGAAGGGUUACCCCAUAGAAAUCCAGGUACUUGUUUUAAGGGAUUGGGGUCGGGUAGGGUUACCCCAUGGGAGUCCAGGGCCUUGUUUUUAAGGGUUUUGGGGUCAGGGAGGGUUACCCCAUGGGAAUCCAGGGACUUGUUUUAAGGGCUUGGGGUCAGGGAGGGUUAACCCAUGAGAGUCCAGUGUAUUUAAGGUCUUGGAGGUCAGGGAGGGCUACCUCACGGCCUAGUGUAAUAGAGAUGAAGAAGUUGCUGGGUAAGGAGGGGAAGUAAGUAAUGUGUUGGUGUUGUAAUUUCACACUGUUCUGAUACUGUAUAGUUGCUUUAAAGAUUGUGAAGUACAAAUAACCCUGUACUUUUGGAUGAAAUGCAUUAUAAAUUUCAAAAUAAUGAACACUUCCUUUUUCUGAAUUUAAAUAAAUAAUACUUUCUUUUCUGGAUUUUAAAUAAAUAAUUCCUUUUCUAGUUUUCAGAUAAAUAACCAUUCCUUUUUCUAAAUUUAAAUAAAUAAUUCUUCCUUUUUUAAAACUCAAAUAAUUCUUCCUUUUUAAAUUAUAAAUAAAUAAACCUUCCUAUUUCAAAAUUUAAAUAAAUAAUACUUCCUUUUUUAAAAUUAUAAAUAAACCUUUGUUUUUUUUAUUAAAUUUGAAUAAAUAACCAUUUCUUUUUUUAAAUUUGAAUAAAUAAUCAUUUCUUUUUCCAAAUUUAAAUAAAAUAACCUUCUUUUUUUUCUAAAUUUGAAAUAAUGACCCCUUUUUUUUGUGUGCUGGUGGUGUUACCACAGGUUUGUGUAUGCGUCUAGUGUGGUUGGGAGUCAAAGACUCUUAAACUGCCGCUGGAUAGCUUAUAUUCAUAGGUGAAAAGAAAGCUGAGUGCGUAAGUCUUUCCUUCCAGUAUAUAGCCUCUACACUAACAAGACUUCUACAGUGCCUCCCCGUGACAGCACACGGUAACUAGGAUCUAGUGUUCUAGGCUUGACUGUAGAGGAUCUCGGAGUAGCAAGGACCCUAGAGAUGAAGUGUGUAGGCCGAUUGACAUGCGGACAUCCAUAGCACUCAUCACCCUUGCCCCAGUUAUGGGUCAAAUAGCCGGCUGAAUGAUGGUCAUUGUAAAGAUUCUCUGGUUCUCCAGGUUUGGGAUUGAGAAAUAUGUCAACAACCUAUCCUAAGUGUAAAAAGGAAGAAUGAUCAUAUACUGAUUAAUCUCCCAGAUGAGGAACAUCACAACUGGGUCUGCAUGAAGCUUUGACAUUCAAAAGACAAGUUAUCCUGGAUAUUUUGAAAACACGUAAAUGAUUUACUGAAGGAAAAUCGAAGGAAAGUAGGACCUGAAUGUAAAAUAAUACCAACUUGAAGACAAAGUGUGCUUGUUAAUUUAGAAAUCAACUGAAGCAAAAUAAGAAGAAUGGAUUCUGUUGAUCUGAGGAACUUGGAAACACUUAUUGACAAAAAAAUAUGUAGUAUAAUACAAUUAUGUUUAAAAGAGAGAGAUAGAAAAAGGGUGAGAGCCAGUUGUAAAGAUUUAUUCUUUUAAACCAGAUAUGUUGAUUACAUUCAAAUUUCAUAGGCCUACAGUUCCCCCUAUAUGGUCCUAUUUAAUACAUGUACUAGGUGUUUAAUGUAAGACUUUGAUGUGACGUUUGAGAACAAUCAGCUGCCAUUGGUUUAAAUCUAUUUUUAUGCCCUUUCAGUUGGGGGGGGGGGGGGAUAUUGUUUUACUCCUGUCCUUACGCUCUACCAUCCUUUUAUAGGUAUAUAGAAAUAAGAAGAUGUGAAAUUGAUGACAAUGAGACAACUCUCAUCCAGUUUACAUGUAGUAUAGAUAACUACUCCUAGAGUUAAAGGAGUUAUCUCCCAUAUUUGUAGGUUCUUUUGAUAUUUUGAUAUUUCAUGAUAAGGCUAAUGUAAAUAGAAGAUUUAACUUGUUUUUGAAUUUAACAAACUGAGCAUAAGUUGUGAGGAAUGGAAACUAGCAGGCCCAGUUUAAGGGUUAAGGGGAGGGAAUACACUUGUUUAUCUUUUCAUAUGAGCUAGUUUUGUUCACUGCAUGGAAGGCCUGCAAUAAAUUAGAAUGUAUUAGUUUUAUAUAUGAUUGUUAUAUAUUUGUUGUUAGAUAUGCUAUAUAACAUGCAAAAAAGUAAGAUGACAGUAUUAUAGUUCUGUAAAUAAAAUUAGCUUGUAAACAGAGGUCUAGAUAAUGCAUUAAGUUGAUUGGUCUGACAUUGGAAUUUCAAAUUAUAUUUAUGUCGUCAUCAUCUACCAAAGUGCUUCCAUUCUCAAUAUUAUCUGAUAUUAAACACCCCUUCCUCCCAAUUAUGACUUCAUUUUUAGUUUAAUGAGUUAUCUCCCAUAUUUGUAGGUACUUUGGUAACAGUAUUUCAUGAUAAGGCUAAUGCAAAUAGGAGACAACUCUUGUUUUUUGUAGAAAAGAAGAUUUAACUUGUUUUCAAAUUUAAUGGUAAAUCCUGUGACUUCGUAAAUUUUUUCUUAGCUUUAAAAUAAUAUUUAACACCCUGUCCAUGAAAUUGAACAUUGCUCCUCUUGAUUUUAGUAAGUGAAUUCUUUUGUAAUAGUUUAAAAGAAAUGUCAAAUAGUAUUUCAUAAUGCAUUAGAAGGAAUGGUAUAUUUUAUAGAAUGCUAGUAUUGUUUUACUUGUAUGUUUAAAAGUAGUCACAAAAUGUCAUAUAUUAUUUGUUUUACUAUUUACUAUUAUAAAGUGGAAUAACAUGAACUUAUUUCCCUAUUUGCUAGUUCAAAACUAUUAUAAAGUUGAAAUUUCUGUAACAAUUAAACACCCAUGAUUCUUCCCUACAAUGUAUGAGGUUUUUUUAAAGCGGGGUGUAUUUUUUUUUCAAUAUUGCCAUAUUCUUAUGUCGUAAGUAUCAGUAUUAUAUAAGGUGAU